GGGCGCGUAGCUCAGUUGGCUAGAGCGCGGCUGUCACAUAGCCGAGGUCACAGGUUCGAGUCCUGUUGCGCCCAC
Molecule: transfer RNA, 75 nt
Filed under: Phycisphaerales bacterium
Lineage: Bacteria; Pseudomonadati; Planctomycetota; Phycisphaerae; Phycisphaerales
Description: tRNA-Val
Rfam family: tRNA
About the family: Transfer RNA (tRNA) molecules are approximately 80 nucleotides in length. Their secondary structure includes four short double-helical elements and three loops (D, anti-codon, and T loops).
Source: RNAcentral